GACGAACGCUGGCGGCGUGCUUAACACAUGCAAGUCGAACGGUAAGGCCCUUCGGGGUACACGAGUGGCGAACGGGUGAGUAACACGUGGGUGAUCUGCCCUGCACUUCGGGAUAAGCCUGGGAAACUGGGUCUAAUACCGGAUAGGACUCCGGACUGCAUGGUCUGGGGUGGAAAGCUUUUGCGGUGUGGGAUGGGCCCGCGGCCUAUCAGCUUGUUGGUGGGGUGAUGGCCUACCAAGGCGACGACGGGUAGCCGGCCUGGGAGGGUGACCGGCCACACUGGGACUGAGAUACGGCCCAGACUCCUACGGGAGGCAGCAGUGGGGAAUAUUGCACAAUGGGCGCAAGCCUGAUGCAGCGACGCCGCGUGAGGGAUGACGGCCUUCGGGUUGUAAACCUCUUUCAGCAUCGACGAAGCGAAAGUGACGGUAGGUGCAGAAGAAGGACCGGCCAACUACGUGCCAGCCGCCGUAAGAC
RNAcentral lists this ribosomal RNA (478 nucleotides) under uncultured bacterium. Its description in RNAcentral is "partial 16S ribosomal RNA". It matches the Rfam family "Bacterial small subunit ribosomal RNA", at positions 28 to 526 of the family's 1533-position model. The record is from RNAcentral.